UCAUGUCGCCUAGGCAUUCACCGUAUGCUCUUUCGUGNAUUCUNANGNACGUGACAGGCUGCGAAAAGCCUUGGGGAGCUGCCAAGUGAGCGUAUGACCCAAGGAUGUCCGAAUGGGGAAACCCUAGCUGCUAUAUGCGGCUAAUCUCUGGCUGAAUUUAUAGGCCAGUUGAGCACAACCCGGGGAACUGAAACAUCUAAGUACCCGGAGGAAAGGAAAUCAACCGAGACUCCCUUAGUAGCGGCGAGCGAAAGGGGAAGAGCCCAAACCGAUUCUUCUUCGGAAGAUCGGGGUUGUAGGGCUGACAAUGUGGACUUGGAUCUAUAGGGGAAGCGUCUGGAAAGUCGCACCAUAGGGGGUGAUAGUCCCGUACCUGAAAUAGUGAAGAGCCUAGUCAGUUCCUGAGUACCGCAGGACACGUGAAAUCCGGUGGGAAUCUGGGGGGACCACCCUCCAAGGCUAAGUACUCCAUGUCGACCGAUAGUGAACCAGUACCGUGAGGGAAAGGUGAAAAGGACCCCGAUAAGGGGAGUGAAAGAGAACCUGAAACCGUAUGCUUACAAACAGUGGGAGCCCGAUGCUUUAUGCCGGGUGACCGCGUACCUUUUGCAUAAUGGGGCAGCGAGUUGUCCUAUGCGGCAAGGUUAAGCCGAGAGGUGUAGCCGAAGCGAAAGCGAGUCUGACAAGGGCGAUAGUCGUAUGGGGCAGACCCGAAACCGGGUGAGCUAUCCAUGGGCAGGUUGAAGCGGGGGUAAGACCCUGUGGAGGACCGAACGCACGAAUGUUGAAAAAUUCGGCGAUGACCUGUGGAUGGGGGUGAAAGGCCAAUCAAACUCGGUGAUAGCUGGUUCUCCCCGAAAGAUAUUUAGGUAUCGCGUCUUAUGAAUCCUACCGGGGGUAGAGAUACUGAAUGGGCUAGGGCCCUCACCAGGGUACCAAACCCAACCAAACUCCGAAUACCGGUAAGGACUAUAAGGCAGGCAGACUGCGGGUGAUAAGGUCCGUAGUCGAGAGGGAAAGAGCCCAGACUAGCAGCUAAGGUCCCUAAGUUAGUGCUUAGUGGUAAAGGAUGUGGAGAUGCUGAAACAAUCAGGAUGUUGGCUUAGAAGCAGCCAUCGUUUGAAGAAAGCGUAAUAGCUCACUGAUCUAGCGUCUCUGCGCCGAAAAUGUAACGGGGCUCAAGCACUACACCGAAGCUCUAGCAUCUAUUUAUAGAUGGGUAGGGGAGCGUUCUGAAGGCGUCGAAGGUUGACCGCGAGGACAGCUGGAGCGUUCAGAAGUGAGUAUGCUGCCAUGAGUAGCGAUAAAAGGGGUGAGAAUCCCCUUCGCCGAAAGCCUAAGGUUUCCACGGCCAGGAGAAUCCGCCGUGGGUUAGUCGGCUCCUAAGGUGAGGCCGAGAGGCGUAAUCGAUGGAUAGACGGGUUAAUAUUCCCGCACCGACAUAUGUGCAUUGAAGCGAGCGGGGACGGAGAAGGAUAGCCCAGCGGAUCAUGGUUAUGUCCGUGAAAGGUUGUAGGGGUGCAGCGUAGGAAUAAACGCGUUGCUUAUACCCUGAGAGCUGAAUGGCGAGGGUUCUACGGAACUCGAGUGAGGUGAUUCCAUGCUUCCAAGAAAAGCCGCGCGUGGAGUGCAUAUGUUGACCGUACCGCAAACCAACACAGGUAGGCAGGGUGAGUAUCCCAAGGCGCGUGAGAGAACUCUGGUUAAGGAACUCUGCAAAUUGGCACCGUAACUUCGGGAGAAGGUGUGCCCUCAUACCGUGAUCCACCUUGCGUGGCGUAGCGGGAGGGGGUUGCAGCGACCAGGCGGUAGCGACUGUUUACCAAAAACAUAGGUCUCUGCGAACUCGUAAGAGGACGUAUAGGGGCUGACGCCUGCCCGGUGCCGGAAGGUUAAGAGGACGUGUUAGCACUUCGGUGCGAAGCUACAUGGCUUUGCUAAAUCGAAAGAUGAUGUAUAAGGCCUGACACCUGCCCGGUGCCGGAAGGUUAAAAGGAGGGCUUAGCUUUUGCGAAGGUCUGAAUGAAGCCCCGGUAAACGGCGGCCGUAACUAUAACGGUCCUAAGGUAGCGAAAUUCCUUGUCGGGUAAGUUCCGACCUGCACGAAUGGCGUAACGACUUCCGCACUGUCUCAACCAGGGACUCAGCGAAAUUGAAUUGCCGGUGAAAAUGCCGGCUACCCGCGGCAAGACGGAAAGACCCCGUGAACCUUUACUACAGCUUGGCAGUGAUGUUUGAAUCAUUUUGUAGAGGAUAGGUGGGAGACUUUGAAGCGGGGGCGCUAGCCCUCGUGGAGUCAACCUUGGAAUACCACCCUGAAUCAUUUGAACAUCUAACCUCGAUCCAUGAAGCUGGAUCAGGGACAUUGCCUGGUGGGUAGUUUGACUGGGGCGGUCGCCUCCCAAAAAGUAACGGAGGCGCGCGAAGGUUCCCUCAGCCUGAUUGGAAACCAGGCGUAGAGUGCAAUGGCAUAAGGGAGCUUAACUGCGAGACUGACAGGUCGAGCAGGUACGAAAGUAGGUCAUAGUGAUCCGGUGGUCCCGCGUGGAAGGGCCAUCGCUCAACGGAUAAAAGGUACUCCGGGGAUAACAGGCU
RNAcentral lists this ribosomal RNA (2595 nucleotides) under metagenome. Its description in RNAcentral is "bacterial LSU rRNA". It matches the Rfam family "Bacterial large subunit ribosomal RNA", at positions 1 to 2483 of the family's 2925-position model. The record is from RNAcentral.